RNAcentral lists this transfer RNA (66 nucleotides) under Rasbora paucisqualis. RNAcentral describes it as "tRNA-Cys". The record is from RNAcentral. Lineage: Eukaryota; Metazoa; Chordata; Actinopteri; Cypriniformes; Danionidae.
GGCCUUGUGGUGUCCACAUAUUAAAUUGCAAAUUUAAAGUUGCAGAUUACAAGUCUGCCGGGGCUU